This 468-nucleotide ribosomal RNA is filed under the name uncultured bacterium. RNAcentral describes it as "partial 16S ribosomal RNA". It matches the Rfam family "Bacterial small subunit ribosomal RNA", at positions 28 to 507 of the family's 1533-position model. The record is from RNAcentral.
GACGAACGCUGGCGGCGUGCUUAACACAUGCAAGUCGAACGGAAAGGCCCUGCUUUUGUGGGGUGCUCGAGUGGCGAACGGGUGAGUAAAACGUGAGUAACCUGCCCUUGACUUUGGGAUAACUUCAGGAAACUGGGGCUAAUACCGGAUAGGAGCUCCUGCUGCAUGGUGGGGGAUGGAAAGUUUCGGCGGUUGGGGAUGGACUCGCUGCUUAUCCGCUUCUUGGUGGGGUAGUGGCUUACCAAGGCUUUGACGGGUAGCCGGCCUGAGAGGGUGACCGGCCACAUUGGGACUGAGAUACGGCACAGACUCCUACGGGAGGCAGCAGUGGGGAAUAUUGCACAAUGGGCGGAAGCCUGAUGCAGCAACGCCGCGUGCGGGAUGACGGCCUUCGGGUUGUAAACCGCUUUAGCCUGUGACGAAGCGUGAGUGACGGUAAUGGGUAAAGAAGCACCGGCUAACUACGUG